CCCUUAGAUGUCCGGGGCCGCACGCGCGCUACACUGAAGGAAUCAGCGUGGCUUUCUCCCUGACCCGAAAGGGUUGGGAAACCCGUUGAAUCUCCUUCGUGAUAGGGAUUGGGGCUUGAAAUUGUUCCCCAUGAACGAGGAAUUCCCAGUAAGCGCGAGUCAUAAGCUCGCGUUGAUUACGUCCCUGCCCUUUGUACACACCGCCCGUCGCUACUACCGAUUGGGUGUGCUGGUGAAAUGUUCGGAUCGGCCGUUUGUCGCGGUUUCCGCGUCAUGUGGCUGAGAAGUUCAUUAAACCCUCCCACCUAGAGGAAGGAGAAGUCGUAACA
Molecule: ribosomal RNA, 329 nt
Filed under: uncultured eukaryote
Lineage: Eukaryota
Description: partial 18S ribosomal RNA
Rfam family: Eukaryotic small subunit ribosomal RNA
Source: RNAcentral